AGUGAACGCUGGCGGUAGGCCUAACACAUGCAAGUCGAACGGCAGCACAGUAAGAGCUUGCUCUUACGGGUGGCGAGUGGCGGACGGGUGAGGAAUACAUCGGAAUCUACUUUUUCGUGGGGGAUAAUGUAGGGAAACUUACGCUAAUACCGCAUACGACCUACGGGUGAAAGCAGAGGAUCUUCGGACCUUGCGCGAUUGAAUGAGCCGAUGUCGGAUUAGCUAGUUGGCGGGGUAAAGGCCCACCAAGGCGACGAUCCGUAGCUGGUCUGAGAGGAUGAUCAGCCACACUGGAACUGAGACACGGUCCAGACUCCUACGGGAGGCGGCAGUGGGGAAUAUUGGACAAUGGGCGCAAGCCUGAUCCAGCCAUACCGCGUGGGUGAAGAAGGCCUUCGGGUUGUAAAGCCCUUUUGUUGGGAAAGAAAAGCAGCAGGUUAAUACCCCGCUGUUCUGACGGUACCCAAAGAAUAAGCACCGGCUAACUUCGUG
RNAcentral lists this ribosomal RNA (492 nucleotides) under uncultured bacterium. RNAcentral's name for it is "partial 16S ribosomal RNA". It matches the Rfam family "Bacterial small subunit ribosomal RNA", at positions 29 to 507 of the family's 1533-position model. The record is from RNAcentral.